UGCUGGGUGGGUUUGGAAGUAGUCCAAAGGAAGGGAUGCAUUUCUGAUGGAUGGUUAAGCAAGGAGCCUUUGACGAUGCAGACCUGAAGGCAGAAGGGCAUGGCUGUAGGAGGAGGGAGAGGUGGCCCCUACAUCCAUUACAAGAGAAAACGAAGGCAGGAUUGAAUGUUCAAGAUGCUCAACAGAGCUGGAAAGAUCAUCUCUUGCUGUGUGUAUCUGGUGGUGGAGCACGGCCCCCAGGCAGCCGAAAGCUCAGCUGCCCCUGGAAGGAAGGCAGAACGGGAUCAGCGCAGUGUUUCCAUUCGGGAGAGGUGAAAUCUGCUGCUUCCCCAGGAGCACUGCACUGGAGAGGCAAGGAAUGAACCCGAGCUGAGCCCCGGCUCCAGAUCCUGCAGAUCCCUCCCCAGAAUGGAUCAAAUACCCCCAGCAGUGCUCCAGGAAAAACAAGUUGACACACAUGGAAGAGGAGGAAGGCAGCAAUCUGGACUCCCAGAGCUGUAUGGAUCAACCUCCACUGCCGAGGUCUCAGCUGUAAG
Long non-coding RNA from Pezoporus occidentalis (night parrot), 536 nucleotides. RefSeq lists it as uncharacterized. The transcript has 4 exons. The record is from RefSeq and is a predicted model, not a curated record. NCBI's taxonomy places the organism in Eukaryota, Metazoa, Chordata, Aves, Psittaciformes, Psittacidae.